GCUCAGAUUGAACGCUGGCGGUAUGCUUAACACAUGCAAGUCGAACGGAAACGAUACUAGCUUGCUAGUAGGCGUCGAGUGGCGGACGGGUGAGUAACGCGUAGGAAUCUGCCUGAUAGUGGGGGAUAGCCCGAAGAAAUUCGGAUUAAUACCGCAUAAUCUAUUCGUAGUAAAGUGGGGGACUUUCGAGCCUCACGCUAUCAGAUGAGCCUGCGUAAGAUUAGCUUGUUGGUAGGGUAAAAGCCUACCAAGGCGACGAUCUUUAGCUGGUCUGAGAGGAUGAUCAGCCACAUCGGGACUGAGACACGGCCCGAACUCCUACGGGAGGCAGCAGUGGGGAAUAUUGGACAAUGGGGGCAACCCUGAUCCAGCAAUACCGCGUGUGUGAAGAAGGCCUGAGGGUUGUAAAGCACUUUCAAUUGUGAAGAAAAGUUAGCGGUUAAUAACCGUUAGCCUUGACGUUAACUUUAGAAGAAGCACCGGCUAACUCCGUGCCAGCAGCCGCGGUAAUACGGAGGGUGCAAGCGUUAAUCGGAAUUACUGGGCGUAAAGCGUGCGUAGGCGGUUUAUUAAGUCAGAUGUGAAAGCCCCGGGCUUAACCUGGGAACUGCAUUUGAAACUGGUCAACUAGAGUAUGGUAGAGGAAAGUGGAAUUUCUGGUGUAGCGGUGAAAUGCGUAGAUAUCAGAAGGAACAUCAAUGGCGAAGGCAGCUUUCUGGACCAAUACUGACGCUGAGGUACGAAAGCGUGGGUAGCAAACAGGAUUAGAUACCCUGGUAGUCCACGCCGUAAACGAUGAUAACUAGCCGUUGGGGGGAUUUACCCCUUAGUGGCGAAGCUAACGCGUUAAGUUAUCCGCCUGGGGAGUACGGCCGCAAGGUUAAAACUCAAAGGAAUUGACGGGGACCCGCACAAGCGGUGGAGCAUGUGGUUUAAUUCGAUGCAACGCGAAGAACCUUACCUGGUCUUGACAUCCUGCGAACUUUCUAGAAAUAGAUUGGUGCCUUCGGGAACGCAGUGACAGGUGCUGCAUGGCUGUCGUCAGCUCGUGUCGUGAGAUGUUGGGUUAAGUCCCGUAACGAGCGCAACCCCUAUCCUUAUUUGCCAGCACAUCAUGGUGGGAACUAUAAGGAGACUGCCGGUGAUAAACCGGAGGAAGGCGGGGACGACGUCAAGUCAUCAUGGCCCUUACGACCAGGGCUACACACGUGCUACAAUGGGAAGGACAAAGAGCCGCGAAGCCGCGAGGUGUAGCUAAUCUCAUAAACCUUUUCGUAGUCCGGAUUGGAGUCUGCAACUCGACUCCAUGAAGUCGGAAUCGCUAGUAAUCGUAGAUCAGAAUGCUACGGUGAAUACGUUCCCGGGUCUUGUACACACCGCCCGUCAUACCAUGGGAGUGGGUUGCACCAGAAGUGGCUAGUCUAAC
Molecule: ribosomal RNA, 1426 nt
Filed under: Candidatus Pseudothioglobus singularis PS1
Lineage: Bacteria; Pseudomonadati; Pseudomonadota; Gammaproteobacteria; Pseudothioglobaceae (SeqCode)
Description: bacterial SSU rRNA
Rfam family: Bacterial small subunit ribosomal RNA
Source: RNAcentral